Molecule: ribosomal RNA, 620 nt
Filed under: Amanita sp. SFC20140730-10
Lineage: Eukaryota; Fungi; Basidiomycota; Agaricomycetes; Agaricales; Amanitaceae
Description: eukaryotic LSU rRNA
Rfam family: Eukaryotic large subunit ribosomal RNA
Source: RNAcentral
UAACAAGGAUUCCCCUAGUAACUGCGAGUGAAGCGGGAAAAGCUCAAAUUUGAAAUCUGGCAGUCUUUUUUUUCUUCUUUGGGCUGUCCGAGUUGUAAUCUAGAGAAGUGCUUACCUGCACUGGACCAUGUAUAAGUCUCCUGGAAUGGAGCGUCGCAGAGGGUGAGAAUCCCGUCUUUGACAUGGACUGCCAGUGUGUUGUGGUGCGCUCUCAAAGAGUCGAGUUGUUUGGGAAUGCAGCUCUAAAUGGGUGGUAAACUCCAUCUAAAGCUAAAUAUUGGCGAGAGACCGAUAGCGAACAAGUACCGUGAGGGAAAGAUGAAAAGGACUUUGGAAAGAGAGUUAAACAGUAUGUGAAAUUGUUGAAAGGGAAACGCUUGAAGUCAGUUAUGUUGGCUAGGGAUCAACCUAGCUAUUUUUUUGCUGGGUGAAUUUCCUAGUCUGACAGGCCAACAUCAGUCUUGACUGCUGGAAAAGAGCAGAGGGAAUGUGGCACCUUUGGGUGUGUUAUAGCCCUUUGUCAUAUGUAGCAGUUGGGACUGAGGGAUGCAGCGUGCCGCGAGGCUGGGUUUCGACCACGUUCACGCUUAGGAUGUUGGCUUUUAAUGGCUUCAAUCGAC